This 392-nucleotide ribosomal RNA is filed under the name uncultured bacterium. RNAcentral's name for it is "partial 16S ribosomal RNA". It matches the Rfam family "Bacterial small subunit ribosomal RNA", at positions 523 to 918 of the family's 1533-position model. The record is from RNAcentral.
AUACGGAGGAUCCGAGCGUUAUCCGGAUUUAUUGGGUUUAAAGGGUGCGCAGGCGGCCAUCUAAGUCAGCGGUUAAAUCGUGGGGCUCAACCCCAUUCUGCCGUUGAUACUGGGUGGCUUGAUUGCGGUCGAGGUUGGCGGAAUUCGUUGUGUAGCGGUGAAAUGCAUAGAUAUGACGAAGAACACCGAUUGCGUAGGCAGCUGACCAGACCGCAAAUGACGCUCAUGCACGAAAGUGCGGGGAUCGAACAGGAUUAGAUGCCCUGGUAGUCCGCACAAUAAACGAUGAAUACUUGUUUUCGGCGAUAUAAUGUCGGAGGCAAAGCGAAAGCGAUAAGUAUUCCACCUGGGGAGUACGCCGGCAACGGUGAAACUCAAAUGAAUUGACGGGG